RNAcentral lists this transfer RNA (75 nucleotides) under Holothuria spinifera. RNAcentral's name for it is "tRNA-Gly". Lineage: Eukaryota; Metazoa; Echinodermata; Holothuroidea; Aspidochirotida; Holothuriidae. The record is from RNAcentral.
ACGUUAUUAGUAUAAACAUAAUUACAUCUAACUUCCAAUUAGAAAACCGUGGUAACUUUAAUCCACGAUAACGUA